GAUGGAGCAACCUAAAAGAUCUUUGUGAGCUUUCCUAAGCUUCCAUUCUACGUCAUCCUUCAAUGAACUUCUGAUGCUUUUCUCCUCACUAUCUCAAUUGUGUAUGGUGGAAUUUCUCAUGCUUUGGAGCUCUCUUCAUGGCUCGUUACACUUACAAAUAAGUGCAUUCUUCCUUGCUGCAAACAUUGAAAAUGUCAAGUCUUGUACACUAUAUAAAAGUGAACAUAUGUUGGGUAUGCGGAGGUUUGUGGAAUAUCGUGGAUCGACAUGCUGUGUCUGCUACUGAAAUAUCGUGUAAUGGCAUGCUCUGUUGUAAGCUAGGCUUGGUGAGAGUGCUCUGCUAGUUCUUGUUUAAAAACAAUUGUCGACUCUUAGACUGGACGCGUAUGUAACGAAUGCUAAUCACCUGUUUUCACUUUAUAAUCUUGCUAAUGGUAAUAUAGGGUGGUUACUAAUA
Vitis vinifera (wine grape) is the source of this 457-nucleotide RNA transcript. RefSeq lists it as uncharacterized. NCBI's taxonomy places the organism in Eukaryota, Viridiplantae, Streptophyta, Magnoliopsida, Vitales, Vitaceae. The transcript has 2 exons. The record is from RefSeq and is a predicted model, not a curated record.